CAGUGAAUAACAUUUUAAACAGCUGCGGUAUUUUAACUGUACUAAGGUAGCAUAAUAAUUUGCCUUAUAAAUUGAGGCUAGAAUGAAGGGUUUGACGAAGGUUUAACUGUCUCUAUUUUAUUUAUUAGAAUUUAAUUUUUAUAGUGAAAAAGCUUAAAUAUUUUAAAGGGAAGAGAAGACCCUAUUGAGCUUUAAUUUUAUAUAAUUAUAGUAAUAAUACUAUAGUAAGUAGAUAAAUUUUAAUUGGGGUGAUUAAGGAAUAAAGUAUAAUUAAUAAAUAACUUCCUUAAAAAUAAUGACUGUUGGGUUAAGUAACCAAUGAAUAUUGCUUAUAGAAAGUUACCAUAGGGAUAACAGCGUAAUUUAUUUAGAGAGCUCUAAUUGAUAAAUGAGAUUGCGACCUCGAUGUUGGAUUAAAGUAACCUUAAGGUGCAGAAGCUUUAAUUGGUAAAUCUGUUCGAUUUUUAAAACUUUACGUGAUCUGAGUUCAGACCGGA
This 497-nucleotide ribosomal RNA is filed under the name Sepia vecchioni. RNAcentral's name for it is "partial large subunit ribosomal RNA". It matches the Rfam family "Bacterial large subunit ribosomal RNA", at positions 1909 to 2620 of the family's 2925-position model. Lineage: Eukaryota; Metazoa; Mollusca; Cephalopoda; Sepiida; Sepiidae. The record is from RNAcentral.